Molecule: non-coding RNA, 45 nt
Filed under: Schistosoma bovis
Lineage: Eukaryota; Metazoa; Platyhelminthes; Trematoda; Strigeidida; Schistosomatidae
Also listed under: 1 other name
Source: RNAcentral
AUCCAGCUUACGAGUCCCUAAUAGGAUGAAACACGUGUUGUGGAU